AUACAUACCUGGCACAGGUUGAUGCCCGUGAUCACGAAGGCGGGUUCUCCCCAGGGCAAAGGCUCACCAUUUGCACUCCGGUGGGCGCCGACCCCAGCGAUUAACCCCAAAAUGUGAUUAAAUUGAAUGCGCAAUUUUUUGGUAGCAAGGGCCUGCGUUCCCUUA
This is a small nuclear RNA of Penaeus monodon (black tiger shrimp), 165 nucleotides long. RefSeq annotates it as U1 spliceosomal RNA. The record is from RefSeq and is a predicted model, not a curated record. Lineage: Eukaryota; Metazoa; Arthropoda; Malacostraca; Decapoda; Penaeidae. The transcript has a single exon.